This 265-nucleotide ribosomal RNA is filed under the name uncultured archaeon. Its description in RNAcentral is "partial 16S ribosomal RNA". It matches the Rfam family "Archaeal small subunit ribosomal RNA", at positions 717 to 982 of the family's 1478-position model. The record is from RNAcentral.
AGACGUCUACAUUAGAUACCCCGGUAGUCCCAGCCCUAAACGAUGCGCGUUAGGUGUAUCGGUGACCACGAGUCACCGAGGUGCCGAAGGGAAACCGUGAAACGUGCCGCCUGGGAAGUACGGUCGCAAGGCUGAAACUUAAAGGAAUUGGCGGGGGAGCACAACAACGGGUGGAGCUUGCGGUUUAAUUGGAUUCAACGCCGGAAAUCUUACCGGGACCGACAGCAACAUGAAGGCCAAGCUGAAGACUUUGCCGGAUUAGCUG